This 503-nucleotide ribosomal RNA is filed under the name uncultured bacterium. RNAcentral's name for it is "partial 16S ribosomal RNA". It matches the Rfam family "Bacterial small subunit ribosomal RNA", at positions 30 to 523 of the family's 1533-position model. The record is from RNAcentral.
AUUGAACGCUGGCGGCAGGCUUAACACAUGCAAGUCGAGCGGGGUGAUGGUGCUUGCACUAUCACUUAGCGGCGGACGGGUGAGUAAUGCUUAGGAAUCUGCCUAUUAGUGGGGGACAACAUCUCGAAAGGGAUGCUAAUACCGCAUACGUCCUACGGGAGAAAGCAGGGGAUCACUUGUGACCUUGCGCUAAUAGAUGAGCCUAAGUCGGAUUAGCUAGUUGGUGGGGUAAAGGCCUACCAAGGCGACGAUCUGUAGCGGGUCUGAGAGGAUGAUCCGCCAAACUGGGGCUGGGACACGGCCCAGACUCCUACGGGAGGCAGCAGUGGGGAAUUUUGGAAAAGGGGGGGAACCCUGAUCCAGCCAUGCCGCGUGUGUGAAGAAGGCCUUAUGGUUUUAAAGCACUUUAAGCGAGGAGGAGGCUCUUUUGGUUAAUACCCAGAAUGAGUGGACGUUACUCGCAGAAUAAGCACCGGCUAACUCUGUGCCAGCCGCCGCCGUAA